ACGCGCAUCCUUUAAUAGAACUAAGAAAUUUUUUUGCCCAUGAGCCAACAUACCGUGUAAAUUCUUUCCUUGUAAACUGUCACAUCUCUCUCCUCCUUCUCAGGCCACCGGCGAAACCACCGGCGAGUAAUACGCACUCACACGCUGACACACUCGCACCCUAAUUUAUUCGAAAGCCUUUCCUCUUCCAAGCAAACCCAUGAGGAGUUAGUGAGCAACCCAGCCUACCCUCUCAGUCCUCCCAUCUUCAAUUCUCUAAACCUGCACCUUUCUUUCACGAAAGCCGGCCACCAAGGGUAAGAGGGCUUUGUAAUCUCGGAAUUCUGCCCGCGUUCACCACCGUACCAUCCAUCUUCCGAUGGAGAUCCACUUGGGUUCAACUAUCACCAAAUAACAAUCGCGUUUCUCACCACCACCACCACCACCGUCCGUUUUCUUCGAAUUUAAGUGAAUUUAUGCACUACGGAGGGUUUUGGCACAUCAAUCUCUGAGCAAAUAAUCCAGGUGCAGAGUCCAAAAUUUGGUAUUUCAUGGACGAAAGGGAAGUUGAGUUUCAAAUCUCGUAGAGUCAAAGGAGAACCGUUGCUGAAGAAGGAUUAUGGUGAAGAAGGUGGAGAUUAAUUACAUUGACUUUUAUCGCCGGCAGCUUUCCUCUUGGCGCAAUUUGGCUCAAUGGGAAGUGGAUCACUCAUCUCUGAAUUUGGGGAUGACAACUUCGUUGUUGGUAGUUGGGAACUAAAGGAGGUACCGAGCCGUGACUGGAGCAUGAAGCUUCAAACUCAAAUCUUCUUCGCUUCAAUUGACCAAUGAAGUGAAAGGGCGGCUGGUGAGAGUGCCUGCACUGCUUUGGUUGCUGUUAUUGUCGAUUGCCUCGGAUACCAGCAGUCAUGGUGGAUUUUCUGUCCCUCGCUGUGCUGCUGAGGACUGCUUCUCUCCCCUGUUGGCAUGUUAGCACCAUGUGUUCGUAUUGGGAGACGAUCUGCAUCUACUGGUUUCCUGGGAGGCAUUAUUCGUGCUUGUAGUGAACUUCCCAGUAGCGUCUUUGAAGCUGAAAGACCAGGAUGUAGAUUUUCCGCGAAGCACCGAAUGGCAUCAUAUCUUUACACGGAAACUCCAUCAAGUAACAUCAGCAGUUAAAACUAGGCGAAUCAGCCUUAUUGAUCUUGUUGCAAUGUGAAGAGAUAAACAAGUUGAUGCCGGAAGCGAGUUUGAAAGGGAACGAAAAGAACUGAAGAGUUCUUUGUCACACUUUGGGUUUUCACAACUCCAAGGGAGGGGCCCUUUACCAAAGAGGAGUUGGAUGAAGUUCGAGACAAGUGGGCUACUUACUUCAACGAUUGUGAACUACCCUCAGUGUAAUAAAUAGAGCAGGCUUGUAGUUAUCCGUGACUUUUACAUUAUUUUGUUAUUUAUCGAUUUAAUUAAUUACAUUUGAAUUAAUUCGGUAAUAUUAUUGGAAAUUUGAAAUUUAUAUCAUUUUUGAGGAAUGUCAAGAUGAUGUUUGGUGAAACAGUAUUCUAUAAAUUAUAAUGCAGAAUUUUAUAUUGCAAAA
Long non-coding RNA from Spinacia oleracea (spinach), 1552 nucleotides. RefSeq lists it as uncharacterized. The transcript is spliced from 7 exons. Lineage: Eukaryota; Viridiplantae; Streptophyta; Magnoliopsida; Caryophyllales; Amaranthaceae. The record is from RefSeq and is a predicted model, not a curated record.